UGCAAGCUGGGGCGCGGCGUCGUUUCCGGAUUAAUUUCCUGUCUGUGCCAAAAUACUCGAUACAGCGUCGUUCGCAUUCAGUGGCGAGUCUGAGGUAGUUUGUGGGAAGCCUUCGCCACCAGCCGGUGUAGGUCAGAAUUGGGGGUUCGUCUCUGAGUAAGCAGCUACCGUUCCGUUCGACGAUGGAAGUCAGUCAAAUUGCGACGCCCCUGGUUGUCCUCCUCGUGGCCCUGACUUGCUCCGCCGCACCCGAGGGAAGCAGACUGGACGAAGAUUGCGGAAACACAUCGUGCAUUCCAGAAGAGUGCGAGAUGAUGGGCUCCGUUUGUGUUGAGAACAGCUGCGGACAGCUAGAGUGCGUUAGUCAGACCACUGCGCACCAUUCGGGAAUGUGUCCCUACAUGGGAUCCGCAUCUGACGAGGAGUGUGCCGACAAGGAGUCGGAAACGACGUGCGAUGAUCUCGGCUGCCAGAAGGAAGGAAAAGUUUGCUGCCCGGACAAAUGCGGCUACUUGCGCUGUACGUGAGCGCGCGCUCCAAGGGGGCUCCCACGCAACUGUAGGACGCGACGGGGUCAGCGCGCGCGCGCUAUUAUUAAUAAAUGAAGCCACAACAAAAA
Dermacentor albipictus is the source of this 619-nucleotide long non-coding RNA. RefSeq lists it as uncharacterized. The record is from RefSeq and is a predicted model, not a curated record. Lineage: Eukaryota; Metazoa; Arthropoda; Arachnida; Ixodida; Ixodidae.